CUUUGUUCUUACAGAAGCCAGGUUGAAGCUUCCCAGCACCCAAGUAGCCCCAUUCAAUGGGAAAUUCCAAACCAAGGCCUCCAAGAAGAUUUGCUAAUCAGAAAACCAUCGCUACACAGUUGCAAAGACACCUCCUUCUCCAAGACCUUCCCGGCCCUCACCACACCUACUAAGACUUGGAUCUCCACACUGAAAUGUGUCCUUUUGGCUUUCCAGCUCAACUCGCAAAAGUCAGUCAAACCCGAGUGGAAGCUUCUGCCAUGUUCUACAUCCUGUGCAGAAAAGAGCAUAAAUUCCAGAGACUCCAAACCUUGAAUUCAACGAAAACCAACCCCCAAGUAAAGGAGAAGAUGAUCAAGAUGGCUGGAGUCUGAACCUAGUCAACUGCUAGGAUGCAAACACACUGGUUCUGACUCUGCUCCCCCAAAUAUGAAUUAGGUACUGCUGUGUGCCAGACAUGCAACCAGGAGCUAGAGAUGCAAAAGGUCAUUGAGGAGUCCUGGCCCGGGAAGCCUACAGUCUGAGCUCACCUCUACACCCUGACCCUUUUAGGAAAUAGGCUGUUUCCCAAACUUCUGUUGUUGUG
Saimiri boliviensis boliviensis (Bolivian squirrel monkey) is the source of this 586-nucleotide long non-coding RNA. RefSeq lists it as uncharacterized. Lineage: Eukaryota; Metazoa; Chordata; Mammalia; Primates; Cebidae. The record is from RefSeq and is a predicted model, not a curated record.